CGGCUGGUUUAAGCACCCUCA
Molecule: microRNA, 21 nt
Filed under: Gadus morhua (Atlantic cod)
Lineage: Eukaryota; Metazoa; Chordata; Actinopteri; Gadiformes; Gadidae
Description: gmo-miR-11193-5p
Source: miRBase by way of RNAcentral